This 497-nucleotide ribosomal RNA is filed under the name uncultured bacterium. RNAcentral describes it as "partial 16S ribosomal RNA". It matches the Rfam family "Bacterial small subunit ribosomal RNA", at positions 28 to 507 of the family's 1533-position model. The record is from RNAcentral.
GAUGAACGCUGGCGGCGUGCCUAAUACAUGCAAGUCGAGCGAACAGAUGAGGAGCUUGCUCCUCUGACGUUAGCGGCGGACGGGUGAGUAACACGUGGAUAACCUACCUAUAAGACUGGGAUAACUUCGGGAAACCGGAGCUAAUACCGGAUAAUAUAUUGAACCGCAUGGUUCAAUAGUGAAAGACGGUUUUGCUGUCACUUAUAGAUGGAUCCGCGCCGCAUUAGCUAGUUGGUAAGGUAACGGCUUACCAAGGCAACGAUGCGUAGCCGACCUGGGAGGGUGAUCGGCCACACUGGAACUGAGACACGGUCCAGACUCCUACGGGAGGCAGCAGUAGGGAAUCUUCCGCAAUGGGCGAAAGCCUGGCGGAGCAACGCCGCGUGAGUGAUGAAGGUCUUCGGAUCGUAAAACUCUGUUAUUAGGGAAGAACAAAUGUGUAAGUAACUAUGCACGUCUUGACGGUACCUAAUCAGAAAGCCACGGCUAACUACGUG